GGAUAUAGAGACCGGCGCACGGGUGCGUAACGCGUAUGCAAUCUACCUUUUACAGAGGGAUAGCCCAGAGAAAUUUGGAUUAAUACCUCAUAGUAUAGCUCUACCGCAUGGUAGUACUAUUAAAGUCACAACGGUAAAAGAUGAGCAUGCGUCCCAUUAGCUAGUUGGUAAGGUAACGGCUUACCAAGGCAACGAUGGGUAGGGGUCCUGAGAGGGAGAUCCCCCACACUGGUACUGAGACACGGACCAGACUCCUACGGGAGGCAGCAGUGAGGAAUAUUGGACAAUGGGCGCAAGCCUGAUCCAGCCAUGCCGCGUGCAGGAUGACGGUCCUAUGGAUUGUAAACUGCUUUUGUACGAGAAGAAACACUGCUUCGUGAAGCAGCUUGACGGUAUCGUAAGAAUAAGGAUCGGCUAACUCCGUGCCAGCAGCCGCGGUAAUACGGAGGAUCCAAGCGUUAUCCGGAAUCAUUGGGUUUAAAGGGUCCGUAGGCGGUUUAGUAAGUCAGUGGUGAAAGCCCAUCGCUCAACGGUGGAACGGCCAUUGAUACUGCUGAACUUGAAUUAUUAGGAAGUAACUAGAAUAUGUAGUGUAGCGGUGAAAUGCUUAGAGAUUACAUGGAAUACCAAUUGCGAAGGCAGGUUACUACUAAUUGAU
RNAcentral lists this ribosomal RNA (658 nucleotides) under uncultured Flavobacteriales bacterium. Its description in RNAcentral is "bacterial SSU rRNA". It matches the Rfam family "Bacterial small subunit ribosomal RNA", at positions 84 to 740 of the family's 1533-position model. Lineage: Bacteria; Pseudomonadati; Bacteroidota; Flavobacteriia; Flavobacteriales. The record is from RNAcentral.